GUGGGGAAUCUUCCACAAUGGACGAAAGUCUGAUGGAGCAACGCCGCGUGAGUGAAGAAGGGUUUCGGCUCGUAAAGCUCUGUUGUCGGGGACGAAUGUGAGAUACUUGAACAAAGUGUCUCAAUGACGGUACCUGACGAGGAAGCCACGGCUAACUACGUGCCAGCAGCCGCGGUAAUACGUAGGUGGCAAGCGUUGUCCGGAAUUAUUGGGCGUAAAGGGAGCGCAGGCGGGAAGGUAAGUCGGACUUAAAAGUGCGGGGCUCAACCCCGUGAUGGGAUCGAAACUAUCUUUCUUGAGUGCAGGAGAGGAAAGUGGAAUUCCUAGUGUAGCGGUGAAAUGCGUAGAUAUUAGGAGGAACACCAGUGGCGAAGGCGACUUUCUGGACGAUGUCUGACGCUGAGGCGCGAAAGCUAGGGGAGCGAACGGGAUUAGAUACCCCUGUAGUCC
This 450-nucleotide ribosomal RNA is filed under the name uncultured bacterium. RNAcentral describes it as "partial 16S ribosomal RNA". It matches the Rfam family "Bacterial small subunit ribosomal RNA", at positions 354 to 796 of the family's 1533-position model. The record is from RNAcentral.